AUGAUGAACGCUAGCUACAGGCUUAACACAUGCAAGUCGAGGGGCAGCAUGGUCUUAGCUUGCUAAGGCCGAUGGCGACCGGCGCACGGGUGAGUAACACGUAUCCAACCUGCCGUCUACUCUUGGACAGCCUUCUGAAAGGAAGAUUAAUACAAGAUGGCAUCAUGAGUCCGCAUGUUCACAUGAUUAAAGGUAUUCCGGUAGACGAUGGGGAUGCGUUCCAUUAGAUAGUAGGCGGGGUAACGGCCCACCUAGUCUUCGAUGGAUAGGGGUUCUGAGAGGAAGGUCCCCCACAUUGGAACUGAGACACGGUCCAAACUCCUACGGGAGGCAGCAGUGAGGAAUAUUGGUCAAUGGGCGAGAGCCUGAACCAGCCAAGUAGCGUGAAGGAUGACUGCCCUAUGGGUUGUAAACUUCUUUUAUAAAGGAAUAAAGUCGGGUAUGGAUACCCGUUUGCAUGUACUUUAUGAAUAAGGAUCGGCUAACUCCGUGCCAGCAGCCGCGGUAAUACGGAGGAUCCGAGCGUUAUCCGGAUUUAUUGGGUUUAAAGGGAGCGUAGAUGGAUGUUUAAGUCAGUUGUGAAAGUUUGCGGCUCAACCGUAAAAUUGCAGUUGAUACUGGAUAUCUUGAGUGCAGUUGAGGCAGGCGGAAUUCGUGGUGUAGCGGUGAAAUGCUUAGAUAUCACGAAGAACUCCGAUUGCGAAGGCAGCCAGCUAAGCUGCAACUGACAUUGAGGCUCGAAAGUGUGGGUAUCAAACAGGAUUAGAUACCCUGGUAGUCCACACGGUAAACGAUGAAUACUCGCUGUUUGCGAUAUACUGCAAGCGGCCAAGCGAAAGCGUUAAGUAUUCCACCUGGGGAGUACGCCGGCAACGGUGAAACUCAAAGGAAUUGACGGGGGCCCGCACAAGCGGAGGAACAUGUGGUUUAAUUCGAUGAUACGCGAGGAACCUUACCCGGGCUUAAAUUGCAGAUGAAUUACGGUGAAAGCCGUAAGCCGCAAGGCAUCUGUGAAGGUGCUGCAUGGUUGUCGUCAGCUCGUGCCGUGAGGUGUCGGCUUAAGUGUCAUAACGAGCGCAACCCUUGUUGUCAGUUACUAACAGGUUCCGCUGAGGACUCUGACAAGACUGCCAUCGUAAGAUGUGAGGAAGGUGGGGAUGACGUCAAAUCAGCACGGCCCUUACGUCCGGGGCUACACACGUGUUACAAUGGGGGGUACAGAGGGCCGCUACCACGCGAGUGGAUGCCAAUCCCCAAAACCUCUCUCAGUUCGGACUGGAGUCUGCAACCCGACUCCACGAAGCUGGAUUCGCUAGUAAUCGCGCAUCAGCCACGGCGCGGUGAAUACGUUCCCGGGCCUUGUACACACCGCCCGUCAAGCCAUGGGAGCCGGGGGUACCUGAAGUGCGUAACCGCGAGGAGCGCCCUAGGGUAAAAC
Molecule: ribosomal RNA, 1438 nt
Filed under: uncultured organism
Description: SSU rRNA
Rfam family: Bacterial small subunit ribosomal RNA
Source: RNAcentral